GACGAACGCUGGCGGCGUGCUUAGCACAUGCAAGUCGAACGGUAAGGCCCUUCGGGGUACACGAGUGGCGAACGGGUGAGUAACACAUGGGUGAUCUGCCCUGCACUUCGGGAUAAGCCUGGGAAACUGGGUCUAAUACCGGAUAGGACCACUGCCUGCAUGGGUGGUGGUGGAAAGCUUUUGCGGUGUGGGAUGGGCCCGCGGCCUAUCAGCUUGUUGGUGGGGUGAUGGCCUACCAAGGCGACGACGGGUAGCCGGCCUGAGAGGGUGACCGGCCACACUGGGACUGAGAUACGGCCCAGACUCCUACGGGAGGCAGCAGUGGGGAAUAUUGCACAAUGGGCGCAAGCCUGAUGCAGCGACGCCGCGUGAGGGAUGACGGCCUUCGGGUUGUAAACCUCUUUCAGCACCGACGAAGCGCAAGUGACGGUAGGUGCAGAAGAAGGACCGGCCAACUACGUGCCAGCCGCCGCGGUAA
RNAcentral lists this ribosomal RNA (478 nucleotides) under uncultured bacterium. RNAcentral's name for it is "partial 16S ribosomal RNA". It matches the Rfam family "Bacterial small subunit ribosomal RNA", at positions 28 to 523 of the family's 1533-position model. The record is from RNAcentral.